UCUCUGUUUUGUGCAUGCUAGGUGAGCAUCAUGAACUGUUAUACUUGCCUUACGAGUAUUUUUCCUUCAAUCAGAUUCUCACUUAUAUUUCUGUGAAUAAAUAAAUCUUUUCAUUUUCUUGUUGGGAAAAAAGUCCCUGUAAUCCUUCCCGCCACAGCCUAAUGUGGGCUGCAUGCCUUAGCAUGUGCCUGAUCCUUACAGAGUUUGAGGGCAGCUACUAGACUUCAUGAUUUGGCAAAUAUAUAUUUAAGGGUGAAUAAGGACAUUUAAUCAUUUCAUAUACCAUGAACAUCAUAAAAAACAGAUUGAGCAUGUGGAGAUAUUUAAGUGUGCAUAUUUGAUACAUUUUCCUUUUGUUGAUCAUUUGCUUCAUGCUUGUUCUGCGGAUUGGAGUUUGUUCUCAAAGAAGGAGACACUGAUCGCUAGCGAAACAUAUGACCAAGAGUCCCCAGGACCUACAUCAUCGACUAAUAACCAGCCUCAAACACCUGCCCAGAAGACCUUGAGUGGGGGUGGAGGCUGGAUUGUGAGCCAGAUGCCCCAUCAACAGGGGCGGUAAAGGAGAAGAAGAUAGUUGUUUAACGGUGCAUGUGGGAAUGCCCUACAGACUGAUGAACAUGAAUCAUAGGAACCACCAAAGCAUGAAGGGAACAACCAGUAUGGAUUGGGAACAACAAGAUGAACUGGCUUUUGUUGGCACUCUUGCAUACAUUGAAGAUUU
Non-coding RNA from Triticum urartu, 721 nucleotides. The record is from RefSeq and is a predicted model, not a curated record. NCBI's taxonomy places the organism in Eukaryota, Viridiplantae, Streptophyta, Magnoliopsida, Poales, Poaceae.